UUUGGAUUCUGUAGCCUGCCUGUUCUGUCUGAAACAAAAAUGGACAUCAGAAAAUGGAUUAUCAGCAUCAAGUGAUCUGCUGGAUGCCUCGCCGGUCGUCAUCAGGCAAUUGGAAAUUCUCCGUCUCCAUCCACUGGUAAAAGGGAGCCAUGAUGGCCAGUGGGUUGUUGGAAUGCUCUAAACCGAGGGCGUGGCCCAGCUCAUGGACUGCAACCAGGAAGAGGUCAUUACCUGUGUAUGAUGAAGCAAAGACAUGAGCCAAUCUGCAGGAGUGAUGCUGGCAGAGUCAAAAAAUUCAAAUGGAACAAAGACUGUGCGACUGGUAGGAAGUCGACAUGCUGAGGUUAAAAGAACACUGCCUCUGCAAAAAGUUUGACUAAUUAGACACGUGUCCAACUAAAGUAGGACAAGAUUGUAAUUUGGUUCUACUCUGCUGUUGAGCUGUGUAAGUAGCGUGGUGCAACAAAGGGACCUGUCUAAAGAUCUCCCCCAAGUGGAACACACUCCCACUUACUGAGGCAUUCCACUGUCCCUGUGAUCUGUCCGGCUACACAUCCCACACACAGCUGAUCACACAGAUACACACACACAACGUUUAGCUGUCUGCUGUGUCUGUAGAUAA
Molecule: long non-coding RNA, 622 nt
Organism: Eleginops maclovinus (Patagonian blennie)
Lineage: Eukaryota; Metazoa; Chordata; Actinopteri; Perciformes; Eleginopidae
Exons: 3
Source: RefSeq, a predicted model, not a curated record